GAUGAACGCUGGCGGCGUGCCUAAUACAUGCAAGUCGAGCGAACGGACGAGAAGCUUGCUUCUCUGAUGUUAGCGGCGGACGGGUGAGUAACACGUGGAUAACCUACCUAUAAGACUGGGAUAACUUCGGGAAACCGGAGCUAAUACCGGAUAAUAUUUUGAACCGCAUGGUUCAAAAGUGAAAGACGGUCUUGCUGUCACUUAUAGAUGGAUCCGCGCUGCAUUAGCUAGUUGGUAAGGUAACGGCUUACCAAGGCAACGAUGCAUAGCCGACCUGAGAGGGUGAUCGGCCACACGGGAACUGAGACACGGUCCAGACUCCUACGGGAGGCAGCAGUAGGGAAUCUUCCGCAAUGGGCGAAAGCCUGACGGAGCAACGCCGCGUGAGUGAUGAAGGUCUUCGGAUCGUAAAACUCUGUUAUUAGGGAAGAACAUAUGUGUAAGUACCUGUGCACAUCUUGACGGUACCUAAUCAGAAAGCCACGGCUAACUACGUG
Molecule: ribosomal RNA, 497 nt
Filed under: uncultured bacterium
Lineage: Bacteria
Description: partial 16S ribosomal RNA
Rfam family: Bacterial small subunit ribosomal RNA
Source: RNAcentral